RNAcentral lists this ribosomal RNA (591 nucleotides) under Paenisporosarcina macmurdoensis. RNAcentral describes it as "bacterial SSU rRNA". It matches the Rfam family "Bacterial small subunit ribosomal RNA", at positions 80 to 654 of the family's 1533-position model. Lineage: Bacteria; Bacillati; Bacillota; Bacilli; Caryophanales; Caryophanaceae. The record is from RNAcentral.
UUGCUUCUUCUGAUUUUAGCGGCGGACGGGUGAGUAACACGUGGGCAACCUACCUUGUAGAUUGGGAUAACUCCGGGAAACCGGGGCUAAUACCGAAUAAUCCAUUUUGCUUCAUGGCAAGAUGUUGAAAGGCGGCUUCGGCUGUCACUACGAGAUGGGCCCGCGGCGUAUUAGCUAGUUGGUAGGGUAAUGGCCUACCAAGGCGACGAUACGUAGCCGACCUGAGAGGGUGAUCGGCCACACUGGGACUGAGACACGGCCCAGACUCCUACGGGAGGCAGCAGUAGGGAAUCUUCCACAAUGGACGAAAGUCUGAUGGAGCAACGCCGCGUGAGUGAAGAAGGUUUUCGGAUCGUAAAACUCUGUUGUAAGGGAAGAACACGUACGAGAGUAACUGCUCGUACCUUGACGGUACCUUAUUAGAAAGCCACGGCUAACUACGUGCCAGCAGCCGCGGUAAUACGUAGGUGGCAAGCGUUGUCCGGAAUUAUUGGGCGUAAAGCGCGCGCAGGCGGUUCUUUAAGUCUGAUGUGAAAGCCCACGGCUCAACCGUGGAGGGUCAUUGGAAACUGGAGAACUUGAGUACAGAAG